This 253-nucleotide ribosomal RNA is filed under the name uncultured bacterium. RNAcentral describes it as "partial 16S ribosomal RNA". It matches the Rfam family "Bacterial small subunit ribosomal RNA", at positions 524 to 776 of the family's 1533-position model. The record is from RNAcentral.
UACGUGAGGGGCGAACGUUGUUCGGUGUCACUGGGCUUAAAGGGCGCGUAGGUGGCUGCGUAAGUAAGGUGUGAAAGCCCUCGGCUUACCCGGGGAAUUGCGCCUUAUACUGCGUGGCUUGAGGAUUUCAGGGGAAGGGGGAACUCCAGGUGUAGCGGUGAAAUGCGUAGAUAUCGUAAGGAAGACCAGUGGCGAAGGCGGGUCUCUGGACAGUUCCUGACGCUGAGGCACGAAGGUCAGGGGAGCAAACGGG